RNAcentral lists this ribosomal RNA (467 nucleotides) under uncultured bacterium. RNAcentral's name for it is "partial 16S ribosomal RNA". It matches the Rfam family "Bacterial small subunit ribosomal RNA", at positions 29 to 507 of the family's 1533-position model. The record is from RNAcentral.
ACGAACGCUGGCGGCGUGCUUAACCCAUGCAAGUCGAACGGAAAGGCCCUGCUUUUGUGGGGUGCUCGAGUGGCGAACGGGUGAGUAACACGUGAGUAACCUGCCCUUGACUUUGGGAUAACUUCAGGAAACUGGGGCUAACACCGGAUAGGAGCUCCUGCUGCAUGGUGGGGGUUGGAAAGUUUCGGCGGUUGGGGAUGGACUCGCGGCUUAUCAGCUUGUUGGUGGGGUAGUGGCUUACCAAGGCUUUGACGGGUAGCCGGCCUGAGAGGGUGACCGGCCACAUUGGGACUGAGAUACGGCCCAGACUCCUACGGGAGGCAGCAGUGGGGAAUAUUGCACAAUGGGCGGAAGCCUGAUGCAGCAACGCCGCGUGCGGGAUGACGGCCUUCGGGUUGUAAACCGCUUUCGCCUGUGACGAAGCGUGAGUGACGGUAAUGGGUAAAGAAGCACCGGCUAACUACGUG